UGGGGAAUAUUGCACAAUGGGGGAAACCCUGAUGCAGCGACGCCGCGUGAAGGAAGAAGUAUCUCGGUAUGUAAACUUCUAUCAGCAGGGAAGAAAAUGACGGUACCUGACUAAGAAGCCCCGGCUAACUACGUGCCAGCAGCCGCGGUAAUACGUAGGGGGCAAGCGUUAUCCGGAUUUACUGGGUGUAAAGGGAGCGUAGACGGUAUGGCAAGUCUGAUGUGAAAGGCCGGGGCUCAACCCCGGGACUGCAUUGGAAACUGUCGGACUGGAGUGCCGGAGGGGUAAGCGGAAUUCCUAGUGUAGCGGUGAAAUGCGUAGAUAUUAGGAGGAACACCAGUGGCGAAGGCGGCUUACUGGACGGUAACUGACGUUGAGGCUCGAAAGCGUGGGGAGCAAACAGG
This 404-nucleotide ribosomal RNA is filed under the name Bacillota bacterium. Its description in RNAcentral is "Firmicutes bacterium partial 16S ribosomal RNA". It matches the Rfam family "Bacterial small subunit ribosomal RNA", at positions 355 to 776 of the family's 1533-position model. Lineage: Bacteria; Bacillati; Bacillota. The record is from RNAcentral.